UAACGCAUUGAUGAUUUUGGUAUUUGCAUGUUGUUGUUUUUUAUGAAAAGAAAUACGUGGAAUAAUGCCAGACUUUUUCUUUCAAUACACAUGUUAUUUCACUUCCUGUUUUCUUUUUUGUUUGUAAAGUCAUUUUUACCUGUAUCAAUCGUCAGUGCUAUACAGUGGGGCUCAAAAGUUUGGGAACCUCAGGUAAAAUUUUUUAUUAAUGUGCAUAAAGAAGCCGAGAAAAGAUGGAAAAUCUCCAAAAGGCAUCAAAUGACAGAUUAGACAUACAUAUAAUAUAUAUAUAUAUAUAUAUAUAUAUAUAUAUACAUACUGUAAAAGAUAUA
Molecule: long non-coding RNA, 332 nt
Organism: Etheostoma cragini (Arkansas darter)
Lineage: Eukaryota; Metazoa; Chordata; Actinopteri; Perciformes; Percidae
Exons: 3
Source: RefSeq, a predicted model, not a curated record